Long non-coding RNA from Spinacia oleracea (spinach), 4077 nucleotides. RefSeq lists it as uncharacterized. The transcript has 4 exons. Lineage: Eukaryota; Viridiplantae; Streptophyta; Magnoliopsida; Caryophyllales; Amaranthaceae. The record is from RefSeq and is a predicted model, not a curated record.
UUCUCCUCUUCUUCUUCGUAUGACUUUGAGCUUACUCACCCAAAAUUUUUGACUUUUUAUUUGUUCCAAAUUCAGUCCAAGUACAUAGCUUAAUCAAAUUUUUCUUCUUCCUUCUUUUAUGCGUGACACUUGGAUUGCCAAAUGUCCAAUUUUUCUCUCUUCUUUCAUGACUCACCCUGUCUCAUAAUUUCUAUAAAUUGCAAUUAAAAUAUCAGUCAUUUUCAAGCUCAAAACCCAACUCAAAUUAUGAGUUUUAAUUCAAAAAGAUUGAGCUUUUCUUCUUCCCUAUUUGGCGAGCUAUGGCUUCCAUAAUCAGCUAAUUUGAGCUUCUAAUUUUGCCCAACAAUACCCACAAAGAACACCAAUUUAAUCAGAAAUUUAUGAACCCAAAAACCCAAAUCAUUUUACAAUUUUCGGCCAUUUUCUCUCUCCUCUGUUUCACCACCGCGGCGCUGCUCUCCUGGCCACCGCGCCACCACCUAAUUCCGGCGAGCCUUUUCUUCCGCACCCAGCCACGCUUGUGCCGCCACCCAGCCACCCCUAUCGUACUCCAUUGUUUCGUGCUCCUCUGUUCUUUGUUGUUAAUUGUUAUGUUGCUGCUUCCUACCUUCAUGGAAAAUAACCCAAAAUAAAAAGGGAUAGUUAGUGGGCCAUUACUCAUGAGGUGUAACUUUGGAGCAAGUAUUAUUAUGGGUCAUAAUUGAAAAUUGGGUCAACUAAUUUUCUGUGGGUUUCGGUUACAAGGCCAAAGGUUAGGUAAGUGUUUUGAUUUUAUUAAGCUUGUCCAUUUAAUUAUAAUGAGUUAUCAUGUCUAAUUACGGGAUUUAUUGUAAUUCUGGAGCAAUUGGGCUUAAAGCAUAGGUUUGGUGGGAAUUAAGAUCAUGGAAGAUAUAUUGUUGGAGUAUAAAGAUGUCGUCACUCUAAUGGUUAAGGAAAAUCGACCAAGGUAAUUAUUAUGUCUAGCAUCUUAUCUUAUAUGCCCGUAUAUGUUAAUGUGUAAUUUUUAUGUCUAGCAUUUAAGUUUAUAUGCCCGUAUGUGAAAAUAUGUAAUUAUGUGACUUAAGUGCUAAUUGAUAUGAUGUUUGAUUUGAAGUAUUAUGAGUAUUUUUAUGAUGAUAUGUUAAAUUACUUUAUUAUUUUAUGAUGAUAUAUGUUAAUGAUUAUGAUCAUGAUGUUAAAGACGUUAUUCGGGAAUAAUUACGAUAUUUAUAAAGUUAUUUUGAAAAAAGACGAUGUUGCUUUUGUCGGCAUGGAAAAGUGAACUGAACUAGUAAAUGGGCAAGUUACAGGUAGAGGCAAGUUAAAGUUAAAGUUUGGGAAACAGUUCCCCCCUGAAAAGAUGUAAGAAAAGCCCCGCAAGCCUGUACUUGCCAAUGAGCUGUAAAGGAAAUGAUUCCUUGCCGACACACGUUUUCAAGAUGACGAGAUUGAGUUAGUUAUUUCCGAACAAUAAAUGCUAAUGAUUGAUAUGUGCCAAAUGAUUUUCAAAAUAAAACCGUUUUGACGGGCUGGAGUAAUUAUUAUGUCUAGCAUCUUAUCUUAUAUGCCCGUAUAUGUUAAUGUGUAAUUUUUAUGUCUAGCAUUUAAGUUUAUAUGCCCGUAUGUGAAAAUAUGUAAUUAUGUGACUUAAGUGCUAAUUGAUAUGAUGUUUGAUUUGAAGUAUUAUGAGUAUUUUUAUGAUGAUAUGUUAAAUUACUUUAUUAUUUUAUGAUGAUAUAUGUUAAUGAUUAUGAUCAUGAUGUUAAAGACGUUAUUCGGGAAUAAUUACGAUAUUUAUAAAGUUAUUUUGAAAAAAGACGAUGUUGCUUUUGUCGGCAUGGAAAAGUGAACUGAACUAGUAAAUGGGCAAGUUACAGGUAGAGGCAAGUUAAAGUUAAAGUUUGGGAAACAGUUCCCCCCCUGAAAAGAUGUAAGAAAAGCCCCGCCAAAGCCUGUACUUGCCAAUGAGCUAUAAAGGAAAUGAUUCCUUGCCGACACACGUUUUCAAGAUGACGAGAUUGAGUUAGUUAUUUCCGAACAAUAAAUGCUAAUGAUUGAUAUGUGCCAAAUGAUUUUCAAAAUAAAACCGUUUUGACGGGCUGGAGUAAUAUUACUGAGUUUUCCACUCAUUUUUGGCAUUUUUCUGUGUUUUUCCUGUUUUCUAUUUUUAUGAUGAUGUACAGGUUCGAUUAAGGAGCUCAAGUUGCUCAAAGAAGAGUUAUUACUGGAGUUGGUUAUUUAUUAUGGAGAUAUCGAGAUGAGAAGUAUUUAUAAUGGGAAUCCUGUUAUUGAGAUUUAAUUAUGAGAAUACUGUUUAUAUUUAUUUUUGGGAAAAUUUGUAUUAUUUAAGAAAUGUUAUUUGAGGAUUAUUUUAUUUGUGGGCCCAUACCCACAGGUCCCAGGGUUAAUUAAGCCUAAUUGCGCUGGCAAUGAUCAGUUAAGUACGGUUUAUUACCGAUAAUUAAGGAGCCGAAAAGUCGGGGUGUUACAGUAUGGUAUCAGAGCGGAGCCCAGCCGGAAGUGCUCUGCACUGCCUGGGUAUGAUCUUGGGGAUAUGAGAAAAUUUUUGAGGUUUUAACAACUAUUUGGGUUGUUAGAUGUUAAGGUAUAAGAAUAAGGAGUUUUAAAAGAAGUAAAAGAGUCUUGGGUUAUUGAGAGAGUAUGUCAUAUUAUGAAAUUAUCUGGGUUUAGACUAAACUUAAGUUUUGAGAUAUCCAGUUUCGAGGACGAAACUUUUUCUAAGAGGGUAAGGAUGUAAUACCCGUAUUUUUAAGCCUGUUUUAUUUUUCUGUAAUUACGAUUAUUAACGUAAUUAUGUCAUCAAUUUUUCCGAUGUUAUUUUAAUUAUCUUAUUAUGUCUACCUUUUUAUUGUGACAUAAUACGAAUUAUUUAAGCCACUUUUUCAAGCCCAGUAUAUUCAAGCCCAAAUAUUGAAAACAAAUAUGAUAUUCCAUUCUUAGGUGGGAAAUUAUAUUUUUAACCUUGGUCAACUUCAAAGACCAAAGACCAAUUUCUCCUCUUCUUCUUCGUAUGACUUUGAGCUUACUCACCAAAAAAUUUUGACUUUUUAUUUGUUCCAAAUUCAGUCCAAGUACAUAACUUAAUCAAAUUUUUCUUCUUCCUUCUUUUAUGCGUGACACUUGGAUUGCCAAAUGUCCAAUUUUUCUCUCUUCUUUCAUGACUCACCCUGUCUCAUAAUUUCUAUAAAUUGCAAUUAAAAUAUCAGUCAUUUUCAAGCUCAAAACCCAACUCAAAUUAUGAGUUUUAAUUCAAAAAGAUUGAGCUUUUCUUCUUCCCUAUUUGGCGAGCUAUGGCUUCCAUAAUCAGCUAAUUUGAGCUUCUAAUUUUGCCCAACAAUACCCACAAAGAACACCAAUUUAAUCAGAAAUUUAUGAACCCAAAAACCCAAAUCAUUUUACAAUUUUCGGCCAUUUUCUCUCUCCUCUGUUUCACCACCGCGGCGCUGCUCUCCUGGCCACCGCGCCACCACCUAAUUCCGGCGAGCCUUUUCUUCCGCACCCAGCCACGCUUGUGCCGCCACCCAGCCACCCCUAUCGUACUCCAUUGUUUCGUGCUCCUCUGUUCUUUGUUGUUAAUUGUUAUGUUGCUGCUUCCUACCUUCAUGGAAAAUAACCCAAAAUAAAAAGGGAUAGUUAGUGGGCCAUUACUCAUGAGGUGUAACUUUGGAGCAAGUAUUAUUAUGGGUCAUAAUUGAAAAUUGGGUCAACUAAUUUUCUGUGGGUUUCGGUUACAAGGCCAAAGGUUAGCAAUUGGGCUUAAAGCAUAGGUUUGGUGGGAAUUAAGAUCAUGGAAGAUAUAUUGUUGGAGUAUAAAGAUGUCGUCACUCUAAUGGUUAAGGAAAAUCGACCAAGGUUCGAUUAAGGAGCUCAAGUUGCUCAAAGAAGAGUUAUUACUGGAGUUGGUUAUUUAUUAUGGAGAUAUCGAGAUGAGAAGUAUUUAUAAUGGGAAUCCUGUUAUUGAGAUUUAAUUAUGAGAAUACUGUUUAUAUUUAUUUUUGGGAAAAUUUGUAUUAUUUAAGAAAUGUUAUUUGAGGAUUAUUUUAUUUGUGGGCCCAUACCCACAGGUCCCAGGGUUAA